RNAcentral lists this unclassified non-coding RNA (326 nucleotides) under soil metagenome. Its description in RNAcentral is "partial contains 5.8S ribosomal RNA, internal transcribed spacer 2, and large subunit ribosomal RNA". The stretch from base 1 to 120 matches the Rfam family "5.8S ribosomal RNA", at positions 35 to 154 of the family's 154-position model. The record is from RNAcentral.
GAUGAAGAACGCAGCGAAAUGCGAUAAGUAGUGUGAAUUGCAGAAUUUAGUGAAUCAUCGAAUCUUUGAACGCACAUUGCGCCCUAUAGUAGUCUGUAGGGCAUGCCUGUUCGAGCGUUAUUGAGACCUCAAGCUCUGCUUGGAAAUGGGCGCUUGUCUUGCCUUGCAGACUCGCCUUAAAACCAUUGGCAGCUGAUUUACAAUGUUUGGUGCACAGUACAUGAGCCCAAGUGUUGCAAUGAGUGGCCCAAAAGUAUACAAUAGAAGCUUAACCUCGGAUCAGGUAGGGAUACCCGCUGAACUUAAGCAUAUCAAUAAGCGGAGGA